AGCUCAGCUGGUUAGAGCGGUCCCGCUUUGAAAAAGCGGGAUCAAUCCGUAGGCCAUAGGUUCAAGUCCUAUCUGAG
RNAcentral lists this transfer RNA (77 nucleotides) under Phaeodactylibacter sp. Its description in RNAcentral is "tRNA-Phe". Lineage: Bacteria; Pseudomonadati; Bacteroidota; Saprospiria; Saprospirales; Haliscomenobacteraceae. RNAcentral also lists the same sequence under 1 other name. The record is from RNAcentral.